RNAcentral lists this ribosomal RNA (459 nucleotides) under uncultured bacterium. RNAcentral's name for it is "bacterial SSU rRNA". It matches the Rfam family "Bacterial small subunit ribosomal RNA", at positions 1 to 507 of the family's 1533-position model. The record is from RNAcentral.
AGUACAGACGAGUUUGAUCCUGGCUCAGAACGAACGCUGGCGGCAGGCCUAACACAUGCAAGUCGAGCGCCCCGCAAGGGGAGCGGCGGACGGGUGAGUAACGCGUGGGAACGUACCUUUGCUACGGAAUAGCCUCGGGAAACUGGGAGUAAUACCGUAUGUGCCCUUCGGGGGAAAGAUUUAUCGGCAAAGGGAUCGGCCCGCGUUGGAUUAGGUAGUUGGUGGGGUAAUGGCCUACCAAGCCGACGAUCCAUAGCNGGUUUGAGAGGAUGAUCAGCCACACUGGGACUGAGACACGGCCCAGACUCCUACGGGAGGCAGCAGUGGGGAAUCUUAGACAAUGGGCGCAAGCCUGAUCUAGCCAUGCCGCGUGAGCGAUGAAGGCCUUAGGGUUGUAAAGCUCUUUCAGUGGGGAAGAUAAUGACUGUACCCACAGAAGAAGCCCCGGCUAACUCCGUG